CCUACGGGUGGCAGCAGUGGGGAAUAUUGCACAAUGGGGGAAACCCUGAUGCAGCGACGCCGCGUGAGUGAAGAAGUAUUUCGGUACGUAAAGCUCUAUCAGCAGGGAAGAAAAUGACGGUACCUGACUAAGAAGCCCCGGCUAACUACGUGCCAGCAGCCGCGGUAAUACGUAGGGGGCAAGCGUUAUCCGGAUGUACUGGGUGUAAAGGGAGCGUAGACGGCAGUGCAAGUCAGGAGUGAAAUCCCAUGGCUUAACCAUGGAACUGCUUUGGAAACUGGGCAGCUAGAGUGCAGGAGAGGUAAGCGGAAUUCCUAGUGUAGCGGUGAAAUGCGUAGAUAUUAGGAGGAACACCAGUGGCGAAGGCGGCUUACUGGACGAUAACUGACGUUGAGGCUCGAAAGCGUGGGGAGCAAACAGGAUUAGAUACCCGAGUAGUC
This 440-nucleotide ribosomal RNA is filed under the name uncultured bacterium. RNAcentral's name for it is "partial 16S ribosomal RNA". It matches the Rfam family "Bacterial small subunit ribosomal RNA", at positions 338 to 795 of the family's 1533-position model. The record is from RNAcentral.